CCUAAGGGGGGCUGCAGUGGGGAAUAUUGGACAAUGGGCGAAAGCCUGAUCCAGCCAUGCCGCGUGUGUGAAGAAGGCCUUCGGGUUGUAAAGCACUUUCAGUGGGGAAGAAAGCCUUGGGGCUAAUACCCUCGAGGAAGGACAUCACCCACAGAAGAAGCACCGGCUAACUCCGUGCCAGCAGCCGCGGUAAUACGGAGGGUGCGAGCGUUAAUCGGAAUUACUGGGCGUAAAGCGCGCGUAGGCGGUCUGAUAAGCCGGUUGUGAAAGCCCCGGGCUCAACCUGGGAACGGCAUCCGGAACUGUCAGGCUAGAGUGCAGGAGAGGAAGGUAGAAUUCCCGGUGUAGCAGUGAAAUGCGUAGAGAUCGGGAGGAAUACCAGUGGCGAAGGCGGCCUUCUGGACUGACACUGACGCUGAGGUGCGAAAGCGUGGGUAGCAAACAGGAUUAGAUACCCUAGUAGUC
This 465-nucleotide ribosomal RNA is filed under the name Vreelandella stevensii. RNAcentral describes it as "partial 16S ribosomal RNA". It matches the Rfam family "Bacterial small subunit ribosomal RNA", at positions 338 to 795 of the family's 1533-position model. Lineage: Bacteria; Pseudomonadati; Pseudomonadota; Gammaproteobacteria; Oceanospirillales; Halomonadaceae. The record is from RNAcentral.